CUGGAUUAGAUAGUAGUGUCCUAAUUGAUAAUGAAGGGUUUGAACUAACAAAUGAGUCUUGUUUGGAGGGAGCCUUGCUGUGGAGCAUGUUAGGGGAGGAGACGAAGUCAGUGAGUGCUCGGGCUCUAGACUGAAAGGGACUUGACUCUGAACCCAGUCCUGAAGCCUUAGUGGUGGCAGAAGGAAACCAUGAAAAAAUCUGCUUUCUGAAAAAUCAUGUCUUGACUCACACAGUGUUUCUGAGGGAAAGCAGUGGAGCCUGCAGAUGAUGCUACCAGAGUUUCUUUUUGGAGGCAGAGCGUGUGGGAUUGGUGGGCUCACCAAAUUAGAAAACC
RNAcentral lists this long non-coding RNA (335 nucleotides) under Bos indicus x Bos taurus (hybrid cattle). RNAcentral describes it as "lncRNA (ENSBIXG00000015587.1)". The record is from RNAcentral. Lineage: Eukaryota; Metazoa; Chordata; Mammalia; Artiodactyla; Bovidae.